AUUGAACGCUGGCGGCAGGCCUAACACAUGCAAGUCGAACGGUAACAGGAAGAAGCUUGCUUCUUUGCUGACGAGUGGCGGACGGGUGAGUAAUGUCUGGGAAACUGCCUGAUGGAGGGGGAUAACUACUGGAAACGGUAGCUAAUACCGCAUAACGUCGCAAGACCAAAAAGGGGGACCUUCGGGCCUCUUGCCAUCGGAUGUGCCCAGAUGGGAUUAGCUAGUAGGUGGGGUAACGGCUCACCUAGGCGACGAUCCCUAGCUGGUCUGAGAGGAUGACCAGCCACACUGGAACUGAGACACGGUCCAGACUCCGACGGGAGGCAGCAGUGGGGAAUAUUGCACAAUGGGCGCAAGCCUGAUGCAGCCAUGCCGCGUGUAUGAAGAAGGCCUUCGGGUUGUAAAGUACUUUCAGCGGGGAGGAAGGGAGUAAAGUUAAUACCUUUGCUCAUUGACGUUACCCGCAGAAGAAGCACCGGCUAACUCCGU
Molecule: ribosomal RNA, 489 nt
Filed under: uncultured bacterium
Lineage: Bacteria
Description: partial 16S ribosomal RNA
Rfam family: Bacterial small subunit ribosomal RNA
Source: RNAcentral